This 500-nucleotide ribosomal RNA is filed under the name uncultured bacterium. RNAcentral describes it as "partial 16S ribosomal RNA". It matches the Rfam family "Bacterial small subunit ribosomal RNA", at positions 30 to 523 of the family's 1533-position model. The record is from RNAcentral.
AUUGAACGCUGGCGGAAUGCUUUACACAUGCAAGUCGAACGGCAGCACGGACUUCGGUCUGGUGGCGAGUGGCGAACGGGUGAGUAAUGUAUCGGAACGUGCCCAGUCGUGGGGGAUAACGUAGUGAAAAUUACGCUAAUACCGCAUACGAUCUAUGGAUGAAAGCGGGGGAUCGCAAGACAUCGCGCGAUUGGAGCGGCCGAUAUCGGAUUAGGUAGUUGGUGGGGUAAAGGCCCACCAAGCCAACGAUCUGUAGCUGGUCUGAGAGGACGACCAGCCACACUGGAACUGAGACGCGGUCCGGACUCCUACGGGAGGCAGCAGUGGGGAAUUUUGGACAAUGGGCGAAAGCCUGAUCCAGCCAUUCCGCGUGCAGGAUGAAGGCCCUCGGGUUGUAAACUGCUUUUGUACAGAACGAAAAGGUUUCUACUAAUACUAGGAGCUCAUGACGGUACUGUAAGAAUAAGCACCGGCUAACUACGUGCCAGCAGCCGCAGUAA